This 554-nucleotide long non-coding RNA is filed under the name Brassica rapa (field mustard). RNAcentral describes it as "long non-coding RNA (BRAP_LNC000162)". Lineage: Eukaryota; Viridiplantae; Streptophyta; Magnoliopsida; Brassicales; Brassicaceae. The record is from RNAcentral.
UUCACCAGGCAUCACAUUAUUAUACAUUAUAUUUGAUGGUAUAUAAUAUCAUUAGAUAUCAUAGCACUCAAAGUAUAUAGGGGGUUGUAACACAAGCAUACAUAUAUAUACAAACGAUAUGCAUCACAUGUUCUUUAGUUUGGUAUAUAUCCAUAUUAAAAUUCUAAAUCAAUUUCGAUAUUUAUAAAUCUUUGGUAACAUAUGAUAUAUCUGAUUUGACAAUUAACAUUUCUUCUAUUAAUAUAUAUAUAUAUAAUAUUGGAAAUGAAUUACGAUAAAAAAUACGUUUUAUAAGAGUGACCUAACCGUGUUACAAAAAAAAAAAAGAAUGACCUAACCAGGAACCACAUCCACAUGACACAAAUCUUACCCUAACGCUAAACAUCGAUGAAAACAUAUAGGUGUUGAUAGCUUUCAAAAAAAAAAUUGAUGCUGAUCUAAUGAUUCUAAUCCAUGUUUGUGUGAAACCCCAUUUGUAUUACUAUUAACUAAAUAUACAUACAGUAGAUCUUCUAUAAAUUAAUACUCGAUAAAUUAAUAAUUUUAUAAAUUAA